RNAcentral lists this ribosomal RNA (378 nucleotides) under uncultured bacterium. Its description in RNAcentral is "bacterial SSU rRNA". It matches the Rfam family "Bacterial small subunit ribosomal RNA", at positions 521 to 898 of the family's 1533-position model. The record is from RNAcentral.
UAAUACGUAGGUUGCAAGCGUUGUCCGGAUUUACUGGGUGUAAAGGGCGUGUAGGCGGAGAUGCAAGUUGGGAGUGAAAUCCCGGGGCUCAACCCCGGAACUGCUUUCAAAACUGUAUCCCUUGAGUGUCGGAGAGGCAAGCGGAAUUCCUAGUGUAGCGGUGAAAUGCGUAGAUAUUAGGAGGAACACCAGUGGCGAAGGCGGCUUGCUGGACGAUAACUGACGCUGAGGCGCGAAAGCGUGGGGAGCAAACAGGAUUAGAUACCCUGGUAGUCCACGCUGUAAACGAUGAAUACUAGGUGUGGGAGGACUGACCCCUUCCGUGCCGCAGUUAACACAAUAAGUAUUCCACCUGGGGAGUACGACCGCAAGGUUGAA